Molecule: ribosomal RNA, 292 nt
Filed under: uncultured bacterium
Lineage: Bacteria
Description: partial 16S ribosomal RNA
Rfam family: Bacterial small subunit ribosomal RNA
Source: RNAcentral
GUGCCAGCAGCCGCGGUAAUACGUAGGCAGCAAACGUUGUUCGGAAUUACUGGGCGUAAAGAGUGUGUAGGCGGUUGGGUAAGUUUGGUGUGAAAUCUCCCGGCUUAACUGGGAGGGUGCGCCGAAAACUGCCUGGCUUGAGUACUGGAGAGGAUAGCGGAAUUCCUGGUGUAGCGGUGAAAUGCGUAGAUAUCAGGAGGAACACCUGCGGUGUAGACGGCUGUCUGGACAGUAACUGACGCUGAGACACGAAAGCGUGGGGAGCAAACAGGAUUAGAUACCCUGGUAGUCC